CAGCAAGAGAGAGAGAAAGAGCCGUCCACAGGCGUGUGGGGGAAGAAAAGGAAAGAAAUGGCUUAUUUAUAAAAUAGUCACGGUUCUGGAAGCUUCCGAAUAUGAAUGUGAUCCAUUACAGAUAAAAAGGACAUGGACAUGAUAUGGAUAAGAAUGAACAUCACACUUUUAAUGCACAUUCUUCAGACCAGGUCUCCUCCUCCUUUUUUCUAAAAAAAAAAAAAAACUCCCAGUAGAAGCAGCAGUGGAAGCAGACUGAUCCUGUAGAGCUGAAUUCACUCGCUUUCCAACACUGCCACUGCUGGAGCCCAGCUUACACUGCAGAGUGACCUGUUUCUGAAAGGAGCCGCGGGAACAAUGAUCUGAGGCAGGAGAAAGCUGGGAGAAGGUGCUCUUGUCAGCAGCAUCCUCAGCCUGUGAGAGGAAGAGGCCGUGUGCAUUAUCUGCAUGGACGAGCUCUGUGUGAAGGUGCAGUCAUGGCGUGUGGCACGGGAAGCGGUCUGCUGCGACUCCGGUGGUCAGGAAAACGCAGAGGCAACGCACCACAUUCAUAUUUCAUGUCUUUGUCUCUGCAUCUCUGCAACUGCCUGAGAGAUGUUAUCUGGUAACUGUCACAGGAAAUAAGAUUAUUCACACAUGUGCCAGAGCGCAGACACAGACUAACUGUUCGAGUGUGGAGAUGAAGUAAGCUAUCAGCGCUGCAAAUCUGGGCCUCUAGUGGGUUUCAAUUUCUGUAAGGCUGUAUUGUGUCUAAUUUAAUGUCUGACGAUGUGACUAUAUGUUACUACUUCAUGUU
Astyanax mexicanus (Mexican tetra) is the source of this 796-nucleotide long non-coding RNA. RefSeq lists it as uncharacterized. The transcript is spliced from 5 exons. NCBI's taxonomy places the organism in Eukaryota, Metazoa, Chordata, Actinopteri, Characiformes, Acestrorhamphidae. The record is from RefSeq and is a predicted model, not a curated record.